Long non-coding RNA from Sphaerodactylus townsendi, 1369 nucleotides. RefSeq lists it as uncharacterized. The transcript has 2 exons. Lineage: Eukaryota; Metazoa; Chordata; Lepidosauria; Squamata; Sphaerodactylidae. The record is from RefSeq and is a predicted model, not a curated record.
CCAGGUCCCCCUAACAGCUCACAGCUAAGGCGCAAGCGCUACAAUCGGCCAUUUUAAGUACCGCCUGCAGACAUUGAAACGAAAGGCGCCAUUUUGGACGAGGGUUUGGUUUGCCUCUUCACAAUACUGGUGCUGACAAUAACCGUUGGCUAGACCGAAUCAGUACACUGCUGCCUAGGAACAGUUUGCCCUUAGUAAAGAUGGUAAAAACGACCUCGAGGGAAAGUGGGCGUGAGAGGUGGAGUGGAGCUCAACCCCACGAGAUCAGCGCUGAUUGCCGCAAUGUUGUUUCCUGAUGAGAGUCGCUACACCUACUUGCUUCUACAGCUACUCAAUAAGGAACACUGUAACAUGCUGCUGUGCUACUAUAAGCUUGUGUAGGUCAGUGGUCCUUAAUGGGCAUACUCAGGUGGAUAAUGAAUUGCUGUCAAGCUUUUUUUAAUUUUGGAAGGAUGUGCUGCAUUCAUAGACAGCAACACUCCACACUCCCUACCUGCUUACAUGCCUUUUGGACAAAAGAAUAGCAGAGCAAGGUCACUAUGUGAUACAGAGUUAAGUUCUGAAGCUGGCUCCUCACCUUCCUAUUGCAAUUGAUGUCAUGUGAUACCAAGCCGUACUUGAAAUUUAGUGGGCUCCCUACUCCUGGCUGCAGUUGAAUGCCCACCUGAAGUCAGGAUAGGUUGAAGACUGCUGAGAGAAUCCCUGAGUGGAGGAUAAGAUAUUCAUAUGGUUUCCUUACAGAAUUCUCAUAUUGUAAUAUUUAUUUUGGCUUAUGUUGCCAGUUAUAGAGAGUUGUGUAUUGAGAGUGGUAUGGUAUGGCAUAGGUGUCAGACUCGCAGCCCUCCAGAUGCUUUGGACUAUAGUUCCCAUUAUCCCCUGCCAGCAUGAUGCUGGCAGGGGAUGGUGGGAACUAUAGUCCAUAACAUCUGGAGGGCCGUGAGUUUGACACCUGUGUGGUAUGGCAUAGAAUCUGGACUAGAAUAACUGUACUAGAAUAACAGGGUGAGGGGAAAAUACAUAUGUGGCUAUAUUAAUUCAUAGCAAAAUUUUAAAAACCCUAAUACAAAUUACAUAAUAUCUUUUACUAAGAUCAACCAAAAUGACAAUACAGUUUGUACAUGUUCAAAGUUCUUUCAAGGAAAAGUUCUGGAGAACUCAGAAGGUAGCACAUGAUUGGUCUUAAAGGAGUAAUAGUUUUGAAAAAGGAAACAAUCUAUUUCGGUACCAAAAAGGAAUGCAAACAUCUAGUACUUUUAAGCUUUGAACAUGCAUUUAAUACAGCUUUUACUGGUCAUUCUACUAUUCCCACUGGUGCUAGAGGAACAAACUUAGAAUGUUUGAGCAAGAAUAAAUAAAAAAUGUUCUACUA